This 162-nucleotide small RNA is filed under the name Pleurocapsa sp. RNAcentral describes it as "c-di-AMP sequence". It matches the Rfam family "c-di-AMP riboswitch aptamer (ydaO/yuaA leader)". From Rfam's summary of the family: This family represents a conserved RNA structure found upstream of the ydaO and yuaA genes in Bacillus subtilis and related genes in other bacteria. The ydaO/yuaA element is thought to act as a genetic "off" switch for the ydaO and yuaA genes in its native state. The record is from RNAcentral. Lineage: Bacteria; Bacillati; Cyanobacteriota; Cyanophyceae; Pleurocapsales; Pleurocapsaceae.
AGAGUAAGUCAGCCUAAUCCCUCGCGCGAUCGUGCAAAAAGUUACUUGAAAGAUCGAGCAGGAACGGGGGAACCAAACCUGGGGCGAACCUUAGAAGGUCAAGGGGGACAUCUCUCAGUCCUAGCCCGUCAGCUAACCUCGUCGGCAUUGAGAGGAGAUUGA